Molecule: long non-coding RNA, 444 nt
Filed under: Panicum hallii
Lineage: Eukaryota; Viridiplantae; Streptophyta; Magnoliopsida; Poales; Poaceae
Description: long non-coding RNA (PHAL_LNC000820)
Source: RNAcentral
AGACAUUUGUGGCAAUGGUGUGCUAUGUACAGCUCAGUAUCCUCCGCUAACAAUUCAAGCACGGUGGAUGCACCGGAUGUACCACUUCUCCACACCACCAUCACAAGGCAACACCUACUACAGUCACCAUUUUCUCGUAAUAAAUGGAAUUUAAUUAAUAUUAUCAUUAUUGCGGCUAAUUACUUACUUGAUUAGUCUUACAGCCUCCACCUGGCACGCACCUGACAGGAUGCCAAGGAAACACGGAGCCGUAGGGGCCCACCUACCAGCAGCUACCCCCCAAAAGAAAACAAAAUGUUUUCCAUCACAUCGUGCAUGCGCCGAGCCGAGACAGAUCAAAAGCAGAGCACUGCUCUGUUGUUUUCCCCUUCGGUCGCGACGCGACGCCACGGCGAUCGAACGAUCAGCACCGGCCGCCGCUCCCGAGCUCGGCGACGAGCUCCC